Molecule: unclassified non-coding RNA, 391 nt
Filed under: uncultured fungus
Lineage: Eukaryota; Fungi
Description: partial contains small subunit ribosomal RNA, internal transcribed spacer 1, and 5.8S ribosomal RNA
Rfam family: Eukaryotic small subunit ribosomal RNA (bases 1-73)
Source: RNAcentral
UCAAACUUGGUCAUUUAGAGGAAGUAAAAGUCGUAACAAGGUUUCCGUAGGUGAACCUGCGGAAGGAUCAACAUUGGAUAACAUUUUCCCAAGCUCAGGAGAGAGAGAGAGAGGGGAGAGAACAAGGUUUUUCUUCUCUUCUCUUUUCUUCUGGCUUGCAAACAACUUUGAUACCCAAAAAGAGGAGUUCCUUGAUCUUCGGCCUCAGCUUAUUUAUUAUUUAGGUUGAUGGUUGGGGAGAGAGAGAGAAAGGGAAGGGAGGGGGAGACCCCGACCGGAAUAACAACAUGUGGUUGCCUGAUAAAAACGAGUUUGGUUUUGUUGGGAACGAGAAAAUGAAACAACUUUCAACAACGGAUCUCUUGGCUCUCACAUCGAUGAAGAACGCAGC